CACAGGGCCCCCUCAUCCAUCCUCUACCUAUUAGUGAAGAUCCGUUCGGCAGAGUAGCUGUCGACAUAGUUGCGCAGGCACUUUGGUGACUCUAGAGAACCUCGGGACAAUCGCACGUCCCCGUGACGGCGAGUUUGCAUUCAGAUGUCUGCCCUAUCAACUUUCAAUGCCACUUUCUGCGCCUACCAUGGUGACCACGGGUAACGGGGAAUCAGGGUUCGAUUCAGGAGAGGGACCCUGAGAAACAGCUACCACAUCCAAGGAAGGCAGCAGGCGCGCAAAUUACCCACUCCCGACGCGGGGAGGUAGUGACG
This 314-nucleotide ribosomal RNA is filed under the name Pelobates cultripes (western spadefoot toad). It matches the Rfam family "Eukaryotic small subunit ribosomal RNA", at positions 188 to 472 of the family's 1831-position model. The record is from RNAcentral. Lineage: Eukaryota; Metazoa; Chordata; Amphibia; Anura; Pelobatidae.